GACGAACGCUGGCGGCGUGCUUAACACAUGCAAGUCGAACGGAAAGGCCCUGCUUUUGUGGGGUGCUCGAGUGGCGAACGGGUGAGUAACACGUGAGUAACCUGCCCUUGACUUUGGGAUAACUUCAGGAAACUGGGGCUAAUACCGGAUAGGAGCUCCUGCUGCAUGGUGGGGGUUGGAAAGUUUCGGCGGUUGGGGAUGGACUCGCGGCUUAUCAGCUUGUUGGUGGGGUAGUUGCUUACCAAGGCUGUGACGGGUAGCCGGCCUGAGAGGGUGACCGGCCACAUUGGGACUGAGAUACGGAGCAGACGCCUACGGGAGGCAGCAGUGGGGAAUAUUGCACAAUGGGCGGAAGCCUGAUGCAGCAACGCCGCGUGCGGGAUGACGGCCUUCGGGUUGUAAACCGCUUUCGCCUGUGACGAAGCGUGAGUGACGGUAAUGGGUAAAGAAGCACCGGCUAACUACGUG
Molecule: ribosomal RNA, 468 nt
Filed under: uncultured bacterium
Lineage: Bacteria
Description: partial 16S ribosomal RNA
Rfam family: Bacterial small subunit ribosomal RNA
Source: RNAcentral